GAUGAACGCUAGCGGCAGGCUUAACACAUGCAAGUCGAGGGGUAUAGUUCUUCGGAAUUAGAGACCGGCGCACGGGUGCGUAACGCGUAUGCAAUCUACCUUUCACAGAGGGAUAGCCCCAGAGAAAUUUGGAUUAAUACCUCAUAGUAUAGCAGUUUCGCAUGAAACCACUAUUAAAGUCACAACGGUGAAAGAUGAGCAUGCGUCCCAUUAGCUAGUUGGUAAGGUAACGGCUUACCAAGGCAACGAUGGGUAGGGGUCCUGAGAGGGAGAUCCCCCACACUGGUACUGAGACACGGACCAGACUCCUACGGGAGGCAGCAGUGAGGAAUAUUGGACAAUGGGCGCAAGCCUGAUCCAGCCAUGCCGCGUGCAGGAUGACGGUCCUAUGGAUUGUAAACUGCUUUGUACAGGAAGAAACACUACUUCGUGAAGUAGCUUGACGGUACUGUAAGAAUAAGGAUCGGCUAACUCCGUGCCAGCAGCCG
Molecule: ribosomal RNA, 488 nt
Filed under: uncultured bacterium
Lineage: Bacteria
Description: bacterial SSU rRNA
Rfam family: Bacterial small subunit ribosomal RNA
Source: RNAcentral